This 2182-nucleotide long non-coding RNA is filed under the name Junco hyemalis (dark-eyed junco). Its description in RNAcentral is "lncRNA (ENSJHYG00000001382.1)". Lineage: Eukaryota; Metazoa; Chordata; Aves; Passeriformes; Passerellidae. The record is from RNAcentral.
AUGGGCCCUUCUCAGGGCACAGCGCUCCCAUCCUGUCUCAAGACUGAACAUGAGGGGAAAGAAGCACAAGGAAGCCCAAGGGGAUGGGAUCUGGGAGGCAGCACAGGAGGAGACAGCAUUGACUACUCCAGCACCUCCAUGGGUUUCACUGAAUGCUUCUCUAAAGCAAACAUCUUCCAGUAUGGGUCAUGGUCCCUUCCUACAGCCAAUGGCCCCAAGAGCCCUCAUCCCUCAGGUGUGUUUGAGGCUUUGCACCAUCCCAACGAGCCCCAGGGUCAUGGAGGGAGGCAGCAGAGAAGCCUUUGGAACUCACCUGAGAAGGUCAGUGAGGUGAGGCAGCUCUGCCAUAGCCACCUCCUCGUGCUCAGAGCAGAUGGAGAUGGGGGCUUGCUCACUGGUACUGAGAGCCAUGCUGGGGAUCCACAGGAUCCCAGCCAACACAAGAUGAAAAGGACUUUGUGGCUCCAAAAUGCAUGUACAUCAGUCAGCUUUCCCAAGCUGCCGGACACCACUGGAGCAGCAGUCAGCAGGAGGUGACACCACACACCUCAAAGAGCACUCAGGAGAUCAGCAGAUGCUCCCUGGUCCUGUUCCCAUCAGGCUCCUGCAUGUCCCCAGUCAGCAAAGCCCCUGAGCAUGGGUCUGGAUCCUCCCAUCUCUGCAGGGACAGCCCCAAUGCUGCCCAAGUGCUUUGCUGAUUUGGUCUAGGACACAAAGCACCAAGACUUUUCACAGAGCCAGGCUCCCUGUCCCCAGCACUCUGCUGUCACCCAGCAUAAGCUGCAAAUGAGUAAAGGCUCCUGCAGCCCAUUCAGUGACCUCUUUCCUUCUUACCUAUCAACAGUGCUUCCACCACCUCCUCCAUGACCUGCCCCACAUCAGCUUUAGAAGCACAGGAUCAACUGGAACAUCCCCCACCUCUUGCCAGCCCUUCUCUGCCCAUGCUGGGUGUUCUCUGACUCCAAAGGGAACACUUCCCCACAGCCAUGGUCAGGACAAUGCAUGGCACCCUGGGGCAGAGCACAGCAGUGAGAAACCCUGCUGGGACCUCAGUGCCCAACAAACAGGUGACAGCAAAGCCUUCCUCUUCUCCUCCUCCUCAGCAUAAAGCCAGCCAUAUUAUUUGUAAAUGAAACCAAAGACCAGCUCGACUUCAACAUCUUCAAUAAGCACUAAGCAACACCACAGAGCAUCACCAAAACAACCACAACCCUCACUGGUCCCCUCUGGUCCCCCCAAACCAGGACAGGGCAACGGAUGCCAGCACCACAAGGAGAAGUGAAGCUUGGGAGAGCAAAGCAGGCAACAAACUGGAGACUGGGACAUGAUCAUCCCCAGGCUGAACAUGGUCCUGCUCCUGCUUUAGCUCUGAACCUUGCAGUGGGACCAACCUGGAGCUCACCCAUCCCUCAGGGGUUUGUUCAGAUUGUUAAGGCACUAUUCUGGGCCGAUUCUGCCGAGAAACAGAAGCGUCCUGCUCCUCUGUCCCAGGCUCCCCUCCUGCUGGUCCCAAAGGUACCUGAGCUCUCCCAGGAUCAGCUCCCCAGCUCCAGAGCAUCCCCAGGAGCCCAGCUCCUGCUGGGAUUAGCAGAAAGGGCACGCCAGAACCCAGCUCCCUUAGGGCACCCCGGAACUGAACCGACAGCGAGCUGCAGAUGCCCUGAGAUGCAAGGUGGGUGUUUGUGCUUUUGCCUGUGGAGGAGGAAAACCUGCUGUAGGGAAGGAAGACGCGUUGUGGGCUGCUAACGAGGGCAUGCUCAUGGCUUUCCAAUGGGGACACCUGCUCGCUCGCCACAGGCCACUGGGGUUGGCAGUGGGGGGGCUCCCCUGGGGUGCCUACCUUCCAACCCCGUGAGUGAGGAGCCUGACUUGAAAGACCAGCUUUACAGUACAGGGAUUCAAGCACCACUAACUAGAAUUCAGCUUUGAAAUAUUGAUGCACCGGCCAGCAAGCUCAAGCCCGGAUAUCCUGCUCCUCCCAGCCUCACCAGCAUCCCAGCAGGAAGGUGAUGCCAGCAUGUGGGAAGAUGAAACUAAGAGUGACACCUUUUACCUACACCCUUACGGACGGACGGCUGAUCCCCCCAACACCCACAUUCCUCAGGGGGAUGCUUCCUCCUGCUCCCCCUCUCUGCAGAGAAUGACGGGUGAGAAAAAGGAAUAAAAACCCAAAACAACCCCA